AUUCAUCUGACCAGUCCCAAGUAGGACGAAACGCGCGUCCUGAAU
Schistosoma haematobium is the source of this 45-nucleotide non-coding RNA. Lineage: Eukaryota; Metazoa; Platyhelminthes; Trematoda; Strigeidida; Schistosomatidae. The record is from Rfam.